This 256-nucleotide ribosomal RNA is filed under the name uncultured bacterium. RNAcentral's name for it is "partial 16S ribosomal RNA". It matches the Rfam family "Bacterial small subunit ribosomal RNA", at positions 521 to 776 of the family's 1533-position model. The record is from RNAcentral.
UAAUACGGAGGGUGCAAGCGUUAAUCGGAAUUACUGGGCGUAAAGCGCACGUAGGCUGUAGUGUAAGUCAGGGGUGAAAUCCCACGGCUCAACCGUGGAACUGCCUUUGAUACUGCACAACUUGAAUCCGGGAGAGGGUGGCGGAAUUCCAGGUGUAGGAGUGAAAUCCGUAGAUAUCUGGAGGAACAUCAGUGGCGAAGGCGGCCACCUGGACCGGUAUUGACGCUGAGGUGCGAAAGCGUGGGGAGCAAACAGG